Molecule: ribosomal RNA, 253 nt
Filed under: uncultured bacterium
Lineage: Bacteria
Description: partial 16S ribosomal RNA
Rfam family: Bacterial small subunit ribosomal RNA
Source: RNAcentral
UACGUAGGGUGCAAGCGUUAAUCGGAAUUACUGGGCGUAAAGCGUGCGCAGGCGGCUUUGCAAGGCAGAUGUGAAAUCCCCGGGCUUAACCUGGGAACUGCAUUUGUGACUGCAUGGCUGGAGUGCGGCAGAGGGGGAUGGAAUUCCGCGUGUAGCAGUGAAAUGCGUAGAUAUGCGGAGGAACACCGAUGGCGAAGGCAAGCCCCUGGGCCUGCACUGACGCUCAUGCACGAAAGCGUGGGGAGCAAACAGG